Molecule: ribosomal RNA, 253 nt
Filed under: uncultured bacterium
Lineage: Bacteria
Description: partial 16S ribosomal RNA
Rfam family: Bacterial small subunit ribosomal RNA
Source: RNAcentral
UACGUAGGGAGCAAGCGUUGUCCGGAAUCAUUGGGCGUAAAGAGCGCGUAGGUGGCUUUAUAAGUCCGUUGUGAAAGUCAAAGGCUCAACCUUUGAAAGCCGAUGGAUACUGUGAAGCUAGAGUACGGAAGAGGCGAGUGGAAUUCCUGGUGUAGCGGUGGAAUGCGUAGAUAUCGGGAGGAACACCAGUGGCGAAGGCGACUACCUGGCCUGUUCUUGACGCUGAGGCGCGAAAGCUAGGGGAGCAAACGGG